RNAcentral lists this ribosomal RNA (253 nucleotides) under uncultured bacterium. Its description in RNAcentral is "partial 16S ribosomal RNA". It matches the Rfam family "Bacterial small subunit ribosomal RNA", at positions 524 to 776 of the family's 1533-position model. The record is from RNAcentral.
UACGAAGGGGGCUAGCGUUGUUCGGAAUUACUGGGCGUAAAGCGUGCGUAGGCGGUUCGUUAUGUCUGCUGUGAAAGCCCCGGGCUUAACCUGGGAAUGGCAGUGGAAACUGGCGGGCUUGAGUGUGGCAGAGGGGGGUGGAAUUCCGCGUGUAGCAGUGAAAUGCGUAGAGAUGCGGAGGAACACCGAUGGCGAAGGCAGCCCCCUGGGCUGACACUGACGCUGAGGCACGAAAGCGUGGGGAGCAAACAGG